UAUAUACUGUCUAUGGCAUUGACAGACCUCUCCACAGCGCUCCCAAGCGAACUUAACGCAGCGCAGCCAUGUUGUCAUGCUGUGAUAGAUAUCCCCCGCCCCCACCCUCUUCCAUGCAACGCCGAAAUUAAGUUCAAACUAAAUCUGUAAAAGUAUGUCACAAUGACCCGCGCAGCAGAAAAAAAAAACACAUGUGAAGUUGGCUAACUUAAUUGUGCGUCCGCCAUCUUUAUCACCUGCUGGAGGAGGAGAGAUGGACUGGACGGACUUGGAAGAGCUAACGGUUACGUGUCUUUAGUGAAAUGGAUUCAGCAAAGUGUGGCUUCUAGUCUGGAUCUGAAAAGGUGACUGAGAUGGAUCUGAGAGGCCCAUAUCAUUCUUGGCGUAGAUCCGGAAAAGGCAGUCUCUGAGCAGCAGCCGGCUGUGACUGGGCUCCGUCACGAUUUUAACUCCUCCGCCGUCUUUGAUCUCAGUGCCGUCCUUGAACCAACUGACCACCAAAGACUCCUGAGGAGGAAAGGGCAUCUUAAAAGCGGCGUUCUGGCCCACUCUUACAAUCACAGGUUUGGAGAACUUGUGAAGAUCGUCUGGGUCAAAUUCAGGUACCGUCGCAUUCCAUGCUCAUCUUCACCGCUAAUUCAGCCGGAUUUCCACGAAGAGCAUAAACAUCAGAGAGUCCACAGAUUGCAGACUCAGAGGGCUUGGAAAGCCCCAUGUCAUUCUUGGUAUAGACCCGGAACUUAUACUCCCUUCCUGGCAUGAUAUUGAUGACAGUGAACUUGUUAUUGAAGAGAUGGUCUGCCACAGUCUGCCAAUUACGCUUAACAGAAUCAUGCUUGGUGAUCAUGUAGUGCAGCCUGUCAUCUUUCGUCUCAUCUGGAGAGGGAGUCCAGGAGACCGUCACUGUUCCCGACACGUUCUCCUCCAGCUCCACGGGGCCUGGAGGCUUGGGGUCAUCUAGAAACAGAUGACACCUUUCGAGGCGUGAUGAAGACCACAUCAUACAUGCAACUCACCCAACGUGGAGACAUGCACUUACAGAAGGUGAGUCGUUUGUGUAAUUGGAUUUCUUUUUUGCUCGCAUACCUUUGUCGUCUGGUUGAACUCCUUCUGAAUCGUCGACUAAACACGCAAUGUGACAGCAGGAGAGGGAACAGGACAGGUAAAUAUUAAUCCUGACAGAAGCACCAUGGCAGGUUGGAACUUCGACAGGAUUAUGGAAACAAUUAACAUGAAACACCACAGUAUACAGUAUAACCCAGGAAUGGGAAGCACAAACACAGACACAACUUAGGCAGAACAAAUAUCACACAACAAAGAAUGGUUAGUCAUAGACAAAAUAUAAUACAGUAUGUUAGCAAUAUGUUGUUACAGCAGCAUGUAAAUAGUUGUGCUGUGCAACUGCUGAUUAGACGCUCAGGCAUUUUCUUAUUGCUGGCAUCUCAGGAUGAUUCCUGCGCAGUGCUUGAGAGAAAUUAUGUUCAAAUACUUUGCAGAAAAGCAACUUGUUGGAAAUUAAUUAAAAAGAUGGCUUCAUUUU
Sander lucioperca (pikeperch) is the source of this 1540-nucleotide long non-coding RNA. RefSeq lists it as uncharacterized. The record is from RefSeq and is a predicted model, not a curated record. The transcript has 7 exons. Lineage: Eukaryota; Metazoa; Chordata; Actinopteri; Perciformes; Percidae.